Tetranychus urticae (two-spotted spider mite) is the source of this 3437-nucleotide non-coding RNA. The record is from RefSeq and is a predicted model, not a curated record. NCBI's taxonomy places the organism in Eukaryota, Metazoa, Arthropoda, Arachnida, Trombidiformes, Tetranychidae.
UCGAUCCUGUUUUUGGGUUUAAUUAAACAAAGUAAUUCAUUGAUUAAUUGUUUUAAACUCUUUGACUUUUAUAUCGUUACUUGUAUGUUUAGUUCAGUCAUUAAUCUAAAUACAUCGGUGAUUGUUAUUAAUGAGACAACAGUGAUGAUCUGUGAAACUUUCAACGAUACUCUUUAAAAGCGUAAACCCAAGAUGUAAAAAUUUGGCUCAUUUCGCUUCAUUUCAUCAGCACUAAAUCAUGUGAGUAAACUUGAUUUGGAUAUUAAAUUAUUACUAUGGAUCGUCUUUCACUAGUUCCGAUCUUCCUGGCAAGACGGUAAAGAACCAGCUCGAUUGGAGGAUGUCAAUUCAACAAGAUAUCAAUACAAUUCGGUAUAAAUUCACCAAAUAAUUCAGUGCUAUCAUAUCAUGGUAUGGAAAUUUUAUACUGGUGAAAAAAAGUUGCUAAUUGAAUGGUUCAAUGGAAAUUUAUUCAAAUGGGAAUUUCACCUUCAACCUCUCACCAGAUGGGUAACACUUAUGUUACAACGAAAAACAAAUGGUAUGAAUUGGUAUUUCCCUGAGAUGCGCUUGCUCUUCUCGUCAUCAUUUUCCUCCUCAUCUCAUCAUCAUCAUAAUCAUCUUCUUUUAACUCUCUCCCAACGGAUCAAUAAGACAUACACUCGCUCACAUACAACGAAAAUAAGAAGAAAGCAGGGAAAAAGAGUAAGAAGGAAGAUCCAGAGAGUGAGGAGUUUUUAUCUUCAAGUUUCUUCCUGAUUUUUCAAACUGAAGAUUCUCAGAUCAUUUUCAGUUUAACUUUCAUCGUUGCUUCUUUUGAUUGCUCAUUUUGUAGCUUCUUCUUCAACUUAUAAUCAGAUAAAAUUGAUACUGAAGUUAACCACAAUACAACAGUAAAAAGCAUCUCCAUCAAACCCGCAACUUUAACAUUGUAAACAGCAACAUCCAAACUACAUUUCAAGUUACAACUGAACUAUCUUAAUACUUAAUCAUCACUGCUUACAAAACAGUUGAUUGGAUUGGUCCAUCAUUGCCAUCAUCAUUAUCACCACCAUUAACAUCGAUGCAGUGACUUAAUUGUUCACUGUCAUCAAUUUUCAUCCAAUUCGAGAGUCAAUGAUAAUGAUCCUUGAUACUUUUCCCUCACUACCAGUUAAAGAGAUAACAUGGGUCAAACUUAUAUUUCCAUCUUUAUUGGUAAUAUUUGAUUCCUUAAUUAAACCUUGCCAUGCCAAAGGAGGUGCUGUCGGUGCCGCUGCAGCAGCAGGAGGUGCUACAGCUGGAGUUGACUGGACUGCUGGUGGUAAUUAUACAGAGGAGGAAAUGGUUGUGGCCUUAAUUGUGGUUGGCAUUAUUAUGAGUGUUUCAUUGUUAAUUUGUGCCUGUCAAUGUUAUCAAAAGGUUCUCUGGGAAAUUGAAAAUACCCAUCUAAUUGUCAAUAAAGUUACUAAAAGACCAAUGCCACCAGCGCCAUAUAAUAGGGAUGCAAUGGCUUAAAUAAUGAUAAUAAUAGCAAUAACAAUAAUGACCUAGCAAUAAUAAUGGAUAAUAACAAUGAUAAUGCAGUUUGGAUUGGUAGAGAGGAAAAGGACGAUUGCGGAAAAAAAUUACCGAUAAACUAUUGCAGUUAUCAUCAGCUUUCAAUGGACAUGAUGGAGGAAACCUUAAAAACAAUAACAUCUUUAUUAUUGUCUCUUCAUUAUCAUUCUUUACGAGCCUAUCAUCAAAUAAUUUUUCAUUGACUGAUCCUGAUACAACAACAAGCCAGUUGAUAAAUGUACUAAAUAACAAACACUGAAAGUUGAUGAUAUAAAACUUGCCUCUUCCCAUCAAGUUUAUAGUCGCUUAAAUAACCAACUCAUCAGGAAGAUAAUCAAUGGUAAUUGAUAAAUUUUAUUUUUCUUGGAAUCUUUGGAAUGAUAAGAAUGUUUAUCAUCAACAGGAGAACACCAAAGAAAAAAAACAAUAAAAAGCUCAACUGGUUUAAGAGGUUAACAUCAUAAUCAGAUCAUUCCGUAUUGAUCAAGAGUAUCAACACCAAGUUCAACUGCUUCAUCUACUUAGACUCUCGUUUAUUCAAAAUGCUGAUUAAUGGAUAUAUGGAACAAAAAGAAAGUGAAAAAAUUUUGAUUAUUUUUUCUCAUCGCCAUCAAUUCUGUGGAUGCAAUACUAAAUCAACUAAAUGAUCAUCUUUACACCAUCAUUAUCCAGAUUACCGUCAUGUUGAUAAAACUUGUUGCUUACCAUGAUGCUUACCGUACAAAAAAAGCCAGACAAAACAAAUUUCCAAAUAAUAAUGGCCAAUAUUGGAUAAUUAAUGAAUUUUAUCAAAACAUUUUUGUGUUUCAUUGGAAAUGUUUAAAAUGCUAAUCAAUUGAAAGUGCCUUAAGGAGGUUUACAUAAAUUUUUCAUCAUCAACCAUAAACAAUAGAUUGCUGUUAAUUCAAGCGGAUUUCAUGAGGAACAAAAAUGUUUAAAUUGACACAUUUUAAAGUCACUCGGAUAUGAAUUUGAUAACAUGAUUUACUGAUCAACAUGAAACUCGACUGAAACAAUAAGAAAAUUGUUAGCUAAUCGGAAAUCGGAAAUAAAAGCAAAUCCAUCCUUUUAAUUAUUAUAGUACUUAAACCAUCCUGAUGAUAAAGCAAAACAAAGCAACGGGUUAAGUCUUUCUUAUUCAUUUCUCUCUCUCUCCUCUCUCUUCAUUUCACAAAUCUUGUUGCUGUUCAUUUCCUCUCUGUCCAUCUCCUCUUAUCUUCAUCGUUAUCGUCAUCAUGAUCCUGAUCAUCUUGGAUUUCUUUAUCAAUCUAUCGUUUCUACUGUUUAACAGAAAGCUGAAGACUCUUCUAUUCCAAUAAACUUCCUUCCGGUUUCCUUACGAUAAUGACUUUGGAUCAAAAAUUUUCAUUGGAUCGUCAACUGAUAUCAAAUGAUUUCAUGUCCUGAUCAGAAUCAUCUUUUUCCCUCAUCAUCACCAUAACCAUUCUCAUCUUUUAAAUCUACAAUCCACAAAUUGUUUCUCGCCUCUUUCCUUCAUAAACAUAAUCCCAUGAAAUAUUAUUGUUUUCAAAAAAAUGCUCCUCAUAACGGGUAAAUGCUUUUAUCAAUCUAUUCCAAUCUGUGAAACUCAAUACUUCAUUCACAGCAAACUCAAUGGAACCAAACAGCAAACAAACAAACAAACCCUCAAAAAGUAUUGAUAACAUCACCUAAAAAUGGUAAAUAAAGGGAAUCAAGUUGAUUGUGAUGAUGGAAACCAUUGAAAGUUCAAUAAAUCCCAAGGAUUGAAUGUAAAGCCAAAUUUGAUUGGUAUUAUUAAUUAUCUUUCACUGUAAUCAUGUUAAUUGGUGAAGCUGAUGGAACAUUUUUCUAUUCAUAAUUCAUUCAUUUGAAUUGAAAUUGUUAAUUAAUGCAAAACAAAAGUUUAACAAUUUGUU